AGUCGAACGGUACCUUUCGGGGUACAGUGGCGGACGGGUGAGUAACGCGUGAGAAUCUGGCUCCAGGUUCGGGACAACCAUUGGAAACGGUGGCUAAUACCGGAUGUGCCUAGGGGUGAAAGAUUAAUCGCCUGGAGAUGAGCUCGCGUCUGAUUAGCUAGUUGGUGGGGUAAGGGCUUACCAAGGCGACGAUCAGUAGCUGGUCUGAGAGGACGAUCAGCCACACUGGGACUGAGACACGGCCCAGACUCCUACGGGAGGCAGCAGUGGGGAAUUUUCCGCAAUGGGCGAAAGCCUGACGGAGCAAUACCGCGUGAGGGAGGAAGGCUCUUGGGUUGUAAACCUCUUUUCUCAGGGAAGAACGCAAUGACGGUACCUGAGGAAUCAGCAUCGGCUAACUCCGUGCCAGCAGCCGCGGUAAUACGGAGGAUGCAAGCGUUAUCCGGAAUGAUUGGGCGUAAAGGGUUCGCAGGUGGUAGUGAAAGUUUGCUGUUAAAAGUCGGGGCUCAACCCCGAACCGGCGGUGAAAACUACACAACUAGAGUGCGGUAGGGGCAGAGGGAAUUCCUGGUGUAGCGGUGAAAUGCGUAGAGCUCAGGAAGAACACCGGUGGCGAAAGCGCUCUGCUAGACCUGCACUGACACUGAGGGACGAAAGCUAGGGGAGCGAAUGGGAUUAGAUACCC
This 685-nucleotide ribosomal RNA is filed under the name uncultured cyanobacterium. RNAcentral's name for it is "bacterial SSU rRNA". It matches the Rfam family "Bacterial small subunit ribosomal RNA", at positions 60 to 787 of the family's 1533-position model. Lineage: Bacteria; Bacillati; Cyanobacteriota. The record is from RNAcentral.